Brienomyrus brachyistius is the source of this 1400-nucleotide long non-coding RNA. RefSeq lists it as uncharacterized. NCBI's taxonomy places the organism in Eukaryota, Metazoa, Chordata, Actinopteri, Osteoglossiformes, Mormyridae. The record is from RefSeq and is a predicted model, not a curated record. The transcript is spliced from 3 exons.
GGAGAGAAAGAGAAAAAGAGGUCUCACUUGUAUUUACUGCAGACUGACAUUAGGCUUAUCGUCAGAUAAUACACACAAGCUACUUCCCGUGUAUAGAAGGAGUAGUUUUUCCCACCCGGAUUGACGAUUCCUUAUUCAAUCUAUGCAGUUCUUUGGAUUAAAUGUGUGACAUAUCUCUCCCUGCACGGCUGGAGUUGCUGCUGCUCAGGUUGAGGAGCUGAACUUCAGUGUCCAAAGACUGUGAGGCAACCCCACUUUCCUAUGGAGCCACGCUCACAAUCCUACAGUUGCUGCCCUACCCUCAAUGAGACCAAAAAAACCAGGUGACCUGUUUUUCCCUUCAACGGUGACUGGUAAUGCACAAAUGAGCAUCCACUCUGCCAACUCGACUGACGUGGCCAUGCCAAGCGAUCAUGACUCUUUCUCCUCCAUCAUCGCCUUGAUGCUGGUGCUGACUCUAGCCUGCUCCAUCAUAGUUGCAUCGCUAGUUACUUUCUACUGCCGUAAAUCACAGCUCCAAGACAGGAAACUCAAGAAGGCACAAGAAGAGUAUGAGAAGGAUCAGGGCAAUAACGCCAUGGAGCAAUGUGGUGGAACGAUGGCAUUGAUCCAGAGUCCGUGAAGAACAUCACAGCCUAUGAGAAAAUGAAAGUAAGAAGGAAGAAAAUAACUUCUCUUUCAGGAUCUCAGAGUAAGUGCCUCUAAGGAUCCCCACACUACUCUACAAGAAAAAUGUGUUUCCUUGGACAUAUGUAUAUAUAACAAAAGACCCGGCACAUUGAAGCAUUGUUUAAGUGAUACAUGUGCUUUGUCACGUUGUGUAAAUAUAUCAUGUAAAACUGACAAUUUACUUCAACAGUGAGCCAUGCAGAGGUCUUGUUAUAUUAAGGAUGGAUGUUGUGAAAUGUAACAGGCGUUCCAUAUUGAGAGAGUUUCCCUAUAAUAACAGAAGAUCUUCACUCUAAAAACUAUACAAUCAGCAAAUAGAAAACUCCGUGCUCAAAUUAACAUUACCAGUAAUUUAACGGUUGCAUUUGGCUUGAUAAAAAGAGUGAGUGAACAAUAAAAUGUGAUGAAAACACAUUAAAAAGCAAAAAUAUAUAUAUUUUGUAAUGAGCACUAGAGUGAUUCAAACAGAAAUGAGUCUGGUGGGGUUUUCCAGGUAAAUAAAACUGGUGUAGGUACACGUAUACUGUAGAACAGUGUAGAAAACUAUCAUCUUAACCAAAUAAGACGCUUGUUUCAACUUAAAUGCAAGUGUGGUAUGAGUUUUAAUUAAUGUACUUUAUAGUUCUCAUUGGCAAACUAUACAUUAUAUACUAUGUGGGCAACAGCACAUCCUGACUUGUCAUCAUGAAGUAAUGAAAAAAAAUUGCAUUAAAUAGUUAUGAUUCAUAGUA